Rattus norvegicus (Norway rat) is the source of this 69-nucleotide non-coding RNA. The record is from Rfam. Lineage: Eukaryota; Metazoa; Chordata; Mammalia; Rodentia; Muridae.
GGGGAUUUAGCUCAGUGGUAGAGCGCCUGCCUAGGAAGCGCAAGGCCCUGGGUUCAGUCCCCAGCUCCG